GGCAAGGGCAUGUGACAAUCAUCUGACAAGGUGCAGCAGUGCUAGGUGGAGGCUGGGGGAGGCCGCGUGGGGACGCACUUCAUUAAGCCCUAGAACUCAGAGCAGCAUGUGGCCUUAGGUGGCACUUCUCCAGCAGAGCUGAUCAGCAGUCACACAGAUGCUUUAAAAAUACAGGUGCUGGGCUGCGUGACAGACACACGGCCUGAGAAUCUCCUCUUAGGGUCAACUGGGCCAUUGGUCACAAGCACCAACACAGAAGAGCCUUUUAAAAUUGUUUCCUGUAGACCUGUUACAUAAAGACCUUCUAAAGAAGAACUUACAACACCUGUGUGCCCCUAAAUGAGGCCACUUAAAGACGACAUUUAAAAUCUCUCCUGUAGUGGGGUAACCAGUGGUAAUAUGUUGGGUUCAUAAAAACUCAAAUAACCUUGAUGUUUUUCACCUGUGUAGGUUUGUGGUGUGUGGAUGUAUUAACUAUUAUCAUUUGUGACACUGGAGAUUGAAUCCAGAGACUACCACUGAGCUACAUCUACAGUCCUUUUUUAAAUUAUUAUUUUGAGACAGGGUCUUGCUAAAUUGCUCAGGCUGGCCUUGAACUUUUGAUCCUCCUGCCUCAGCCUCCUGAACUGCUGAGACUACAGGUGGGGCCAUGUGCCUGGCUGAUGUGUGGAUUUAUGAGUCACUUCUGCUUUCCCGAUAUUGAUCAUCACAGACUCCUUAUUCUCUCAGAAUUGGGACUGGCCAUCCUUGCACAAGGCUGCAUGAGGAGAGGAGCCAGAGGCAGGAUCCUGGCUGGACUGUCCUUGCCAGGACUCUUGUUCUGAGAGUGAGAUCAGAGAGCGGAGGCUGCCCAGGGCUUUCCUGCCCACAGGUCCGAGCUGGCAAGGACGUAGAUUUGUCGCCCUCUAGUGGCAUCUUGUAACAACUGCAAGCAGGCUGAACUUGCUGUGCGGGGGGGGCCCCAGGUUGUUUUCAGAGGCAAAAGAGAUCCACCUGGUACCAACGGCCGCAGGCCACUUCCCCCACCUGAAGACAAGCAAGCCCUGUUGGGGAUCUGAAUGGCCACGAGGCCGCGGAGUGGAGUUCGUAUGCUCCUCUUCACUGCCCCACCUGCGCUGGUUAAACUCUGGGCCAGGCGAGGGCGAGUCUGGGUGGAGCAGUCGGACAGGUGAGGGAGCCUGAGUUUGACUCCCAGAUACCACUCUCCAGCUGCGGGAGCUGGGUCUAUGCUCUUUUUGAACUGAAAGUUCCCACUAUUAAAAUAAUUAGGAGAGGGGGUGAAAUGGAAACGGGGUGGAGCUGGAGUUCACCAUGUGCACUGAGGUAGGAAUGGAGAUGUUCUGCACGUCAGAGGGGUGAAGUGGCCUAGAGGCCUCAGUGUUGUCUGGGCCUCUACCCUGAAGUCCGGCCAGUGAACCUCUCUGCAGGAAAACAGGCAGAUUUACGCAGACCAGGAUAACUAAGGGUGAAACCAUCCCUUGCCUCAACAGUCAGACCAGGAUGAAAGGCAGCUGGGGACGCCCUGGGCAGAGGAUCAUCGCCCCCCCCCCAGAUCCCAGUCAAUGAUGAGCCUGUGGCUCCGCCAGCUGCAGGGACUUGGGGAGUGGGCUGAGGCGUUGUGACCCUGAAUUGCUAAUUGUGCUUCCCAGAGACCACAGGAGCAGAAAGGGAGCUCGGCCAAGGCCUGUGGAGGCUGCUUCAGUCAGCUCUUCUUCUCUGCUGUGACCAAAAGACCUGAGAAGAACAACGGUGGAGGAGGAGGAGUUUAUUUGGGAGCUCCCGGGUUCAGAGGUCUCAGUCCCUGGACAGCCGGCUCCAUUUCUCAGGGCUCGAGGUGAGGCAGGACACCAUGGCAGGAGAGUGUGGUGGAGGGAAGCAGCUCACCUGAUGAUCAGGAAGCAGAGGCUCCACUUGCCAGGUACAAGAUACAUACCCCACUGCCGCGCCCCAGUGCUCACCUCCUCCAGCAUGCCCUACCACUUAGUUUCCACGCAGUCAAUCCCAUCAGGGGUUAAUUCAGUGAUUGGUUUGAGGCUCCCAUAACUGGGUCAUUUCUCCUCUGAACCUUGCAUUGUCUCACAUGUGCUUUUGGGGGACACCUCACAUCCAAACCAUAACAGAGGCAGAGUGGGGACACAGGUGAGGGGCUCGGAUGACAUGCGCUUUGGCAUGGCCCCUCUUGGGUUACUUUACCCUCCAGUUCCCCGGGGGAAGGUUGAGAAAUGUCUAUUCAUGUAUGUUGACGACCUCACAAAGUGUGUCAAAUAUCCAGACUAAUCUUAGAAUCAGACGUCUUGCACUUUCUCAUCCCUCCUCUUUCAGAGGCACGACCCAAGAUGUCCUUUGAAGCCACUUUCCCACUGUUUUAUGUGGCCCUGGUGUGACUGUGAUCACAUCUGAAUAUGCUUUUUUAAAUAUUUAUUUUUUAGUUACAGGUGGACACAGCAUCUUUAUUUUUAUGUGGUGCUGAGGAUCGAACCCAGGGCCUCACGCAUGGUAGGUGCCCCAGCCCACGUCUGAACACCUUUUACAAACUGGGAGACGGUUGAUCUGGGAUGAGCUGCAGCCCAAGGCAGUCCCAGCUGCUUUCCAUCCUGGUCUGAUGGCCCAGUGGUCCCCCAGGGCCUGCCUAGCAGAAAAUGCCCGCUGCCCCACAGGUGUCCCCCUCUAUGCCAGAGCAAAGACUGCCGCAGCAUCCGGGGGCUGCCAUGGGCGAUGCCUGUGGAGACUCGGAGACCUCCUCUUAAGGACAGCCCCUCUCUACCUUUUCUUUCUUCUUUCUCUCCCAGAUGCAAAUGCAAACAGAACCAAGGGGAUGAGGCCCGCCCAGGUGUGGUGGGACCUGAGCUGGAGGCUGCUGGGCCCUGAAGGCCCUGAGACCUUCCCAGCCUGCACCAUUCCCCCGAUGGUGCUCACCCGGGGACUAAACUUCACGACGCUUCGCAGAGCUGCUGCUUGCAGCUGCACCUAAUAGUAACCACAGUACUUUGAAAUAAAUUCUUUUUUUGCUUAAUUGGACUGUUACUUCUGUUGUUUGCAACCAAAGAACCCUAACUGCUGUAGAGCGGGUACUUUGAAUCGUCUGUAGACAACGCCCUCUCCAGGCGAUGUGGAGACCUGGGAGCUGAUUAUCGGGUGCCUUUGGGCCAACAGGCAGUGGCGGUCUCAUUGCUGCUUGGAUGGCAGCUGGCAGCUCAUGGGGUCCUCUGGCACUCGACCUGGACCCACAAGCAUCUAGGUGCCAAGGGCAGAGCACUGGCAGAUGCCGUGGUUGAGAGAGAUAAGGACGUUCGUUCCCCUGUGGACGGGACGGCUGCUCCUGGAUAGUGCAUCACUGAAGGUGAGAAAAAUUAAUGACUUCACAUAUAGAAAUUCUCACUUCACAGCAUGCACUGAACUCAGAGGCUUGGUGUGACUUUGCUGAAAGAAUGUUUUGUGGGCCAUAGGGAACAAGCCUGAGGUCACUUGAAGUGGGACUCGGACAUUGGCUUUGUAGACUUCAGAGUGAUGUCAGGGCACAUGCCCAGCGUGGCAAAGUGCCUUCUGGGAAAGCGAGGGCAUUGUUGUGAAGCUCAGGAUACCCACAACCGGCAGGGAUUCUUGGUGAUUUGUCCCUUUGAAGACUGUGUGGCAGAUGGCAGUCUGCAGAGCCCUCACUGGAAUGCUCUAGAACGUGCGUCUGACUUCAGCACAGCCUGGGGACAUGGCUCAGAAUCAGAGUGGCAAAGAGGAGUCAAGUUACAAGAACUGCAGGGCUCCUGUACGGUCUGACCUCCAGGAGGCUUGCUGUGGUCUGCAUGUGAGUGUCCCCCAGCAGCUCCUGUGAGAUGGAGGGGAAGGGGUGGGUAGGAGGCCCUUAGCCCAAUCAGUGCAUGAAUCCACCUAACUGGAUAGGCAGGUGCCGUGUGGCUGGGGAAGGUGGGGCCCUGGGCCUUGCCUUUGGGAAACGGGUAUCUUGUCGCUGGUGAGUGGGGCACUGCUGCUUCCUUGACAGCAUGCCCUGGCUGCUUUCCUCCUCUAAACCCUUUGCCACGUUCACCUCGCCUCCGGCCCAGAGCAAAGGAGUCGGCCAUGUAUGGACUGAGACCUCGGAAACCGUGAGUCCAAAUCAAAUUUUCUUCCUUUAAAAUUGUUCUUCUCAGGUAUUUUGGUCACAGUGAUAUAAAAAGCAGACCUAAACAGUGCUGGACCAAGAAGAGUUGGGCCUCCUGUUGAUACUCUGAAUCUCGUCAGCUGAAGCUGGUUCAUGUCCCAGAAACCCUGCAUUUACCAAGCAGCCCUGGGACUCCCGGUGGCCGCGGUGCUGGCUAAGGCAAUUCUGCUCACAGCUUUGCAGGGGUGUGAUGCUAAAGGGCCAGAACCUCUGGUCUCAUGCAGAGGAGGGAGAUGGGCGCUGACGGACCCUCACACACAAGUCCCUGACAGUUUCUCCUUCCAUCGAGGCCUCGAGGUGAAAGCUGGAGAAUUCCUCUGAACCGUGUUCCUGGGCAGGCCAGAGGUAAUGACAGUCAGCAUUCAGCCCUGGGCACCUCUGCUACCUGUCACCCAGCCCCGCCCACAGCUCUGCCAGUUCCUCACUCCAGGGUCCUCGAUGGUGCCCUUCCCACCUGCCCAGAUAUGGCCCCACUGCAGGGUCACCCCUACGCAUGAUUGCUGAAAGGUCUGACUCUUGUCACCUUCCAUGGGACCCUUGGAGGAGUGGUGCCGGGCACCUCCUAUCCCUUUCCUAGCAGGAGAGCCAUGUGGACCUGGGAGCAUGCUGGCCGUAACCUGUGACACCCUAUUUUUUUGUUUGUUUACUUGUGGCUGGGGAUUGAAGCCAAAUUAACAAGAGAAAAGUAGAGGGUGGGGUGGUGCUCACCUGUGACCCCAGCUCCUCAGGAGGCCGGGCAGCAGUACGCAAGCCUGGGCACUUUAGAGAUACCUUGUCUCAAAUAUAAAAUGGGCUGCAGAUGCCGCUCAGCGGGACGGGGCUUGCCUCGUGUGUGCCAGGCCCCGGGUUACAUCCCCAGUGCCAGCUCCUGUCCCCAGGAAAGGAAAAGAAAGAAAGAAACAAAAAACCAACAACAACAAGGAAAGAAAAGCACACAAUUUAUUCAAAAUAAAUUUUACUUGACGUGGAAACCUUUGGGAGAAAAAGCCCUAAACACAGGGGCCUGUGCUGCUCGUUUCUGCAGUGCGGGCUGCACCCGGGCCCCAGGCCUGCUGGGCAAAUGCUCUGUGCAGAGCUACGCUCCAGUCGGGAAGAAGCGCUUGCUUGUUGGAAUGGAGUCUCACCAUGUUGCCUGCGCUGGCUUCGAGCUCCUGGGGAGGGGGCUAUUGCAGGCAGGUGGAGGGGCCUGUGGGGGUCAGGCAAGUGCCCCACCUUGGCUUCAGAGAAGCAGGUGUGUCCUGCCUGCCCUCCUGAGCCUGAGUAACCUUACCCUUGGGUUUGCUGGAGGGUGGACCAAGUGCACGACUGCGACUGAAGCCCAAGCUGGGACAUGGGAUGGCGAGCGAGCAGACGUGCGGGGCCUGUGUCUUCAGAGCAGGCCGCUCCUCUCCUCUGGCCGUAGGGAGGAGGUGCCUCCAAAACAAGGGUGGGAGCAGGUGAGGGGAACCUUCUGCUCCUGCUGUUUUCCUAAAGACGAAGGGGCCAUGUUUGGGGAUCCCGUUCUGAACCCUGUCACCCUAUGGCAGAGGGUUAGCAUGAGAGGGUUGACUCCGGGGCCGGGUGACACCACCCAGAUGGUCAGUCAGCUUUGUGUUUCACAGGUGUCUUGGGAGACUUUGAGAGAAGGUGGUUUGGAAUCCCUGGAGUUUGGGGCUGGUUGGGGGCUGGUACCACAGCCUGUCAUCUCCUGACAGUCUCCUGGGGCUGGGAUGACGGGGGUCGGGGAGCUGGGAUGAGGGGUGGGUGUCACCACAGGGCUGCUUUAGUCCCACUGCACCCUGACCUCUGGCUGCCUUUGGUGUAAAAAGUCAGGCAUUAUGAGGACAAAUUUCACUAUUUUAUCACUAUCCUCGAGGAUAGGGUUUAGAGAUGACUUUGGCUACUGUUCAUAUAAAAUUCUUUUUGAUUGAGGUCUUUGUGGUUUUGGAAUUCCUUGGAGGUUUUCUAGAUUUUGGUGGGAGCAUUUAUAACGAGGGUAAGGUUUAAUGUUAUGAGUGAAAUUUUGGGCUACAACAACGGGUCUUAGACUCAGUGAUGAGCCUGAUUCUGAUCUUAAUUCAUUUAAAACCCCUUUCCUCUGAAAGCACUCACGCUGACUCCGGGUUCCCAAGUCCAUCAUUUUGAAUAAGGAAGAAGUAGAAUGCGGAGCCUGUGGGUCUUGUCACAUCUCCACCUGGCCAAAGUGUCCAACUCCACUGUCUAUCCUGCGUCCAGAAGCAGAACAUGGGGCGCUAAGGUCAGUGUCCGCUCCCUGGGGUGUGGGUAAGUAAGCCACAGGACGACGCCGGGAGCAAUUGGACUGGGACCCGGUACUGUCACACCCCAGUGAAGCCAGAGCCAUUGCUUAGAAUGCUGGCCUCCUGGCCCGAGCUUGGGGGUGGUAAGGAGAGCAACUGAAGAUGAUUGCUAUGCUGUCUGUCUGCCUGAUGUUUUUCCUCAUGAGAGCAAAAUGACAAAUAGCCAAAUUGGACAGAUGUCAUAUACUAAAAUUGAUUUUUAAAGAAUUAUUUCUUGAGAUGGGGUCGUGCUAUGUUGCCCGGGCUGGCCUCAAACUCCAGGGCUCAAGUGCUCCUCCUGACAGGGGACUGGGAUGAUAGGGUGGGGGAGCCAGGAUGAGGGGAGGGUGCCUCCACAGGACUGAAUGCGCGCGGCCCUGGCUUGGAUCCCCAGCACUGCCAAGAAGGAAAAGUCCUAUAAAAGACACCCUUGAGGUAAGGUAUGGCCCCGCACAGCCACGCCUUCCUCUCCCAGGCCUCAGUGGAUGCUGGCACAACACUCAUUUCAGCAUUUGGGACAACAGUGACAGACCUGUGCCACUUAACUGCAUGGGAAGUAAAUCUGCAGGGUCUCUUGCAUUUCCGCAGGAGGCUUUCUGCCACCUUCCAGAGGAUACCUCUAGAGGGACAGUGGGGUGACAGAGCAGCUUCUCCUCCAGGUGAAGGACAGGGCAGGCGCGUCCUGCCUGUGGGAUAAAGUAGCACCCUUCCCGAGCCAACGGCAGGUGGGUCUGUGUGCAGCCCCCCUUGAAUGCUGGGGUUUUCUACGUUGGGGCCCCCAGCUGUGACACAUUCAACGUGUGCCAAAUCCGCCCUGCCCCUUCUCCAUCACCCUAUCAGUCAUGGGGCCAAGGGGCCUGUGAGCUUGUGGGGCUCUUGCUGUUUCUAUGUGGUCUGGCCCAGGAGCUCUGGAUCUUCAUCCAGGGUCCUCGAGGCCAGAGCGCUAAGUAGGGCAAAGUCCAGAACCUUCCCAGUGCUGACCAAAGACAGAGUAAAGCUGGAAGCAGACCCACGCUGGACCGUUUGCACUGCGGCAGGUGGAGUAGCACUGCCCUGCGUCAGCACCUAACAAGUACACGUCAGGGAAGUGACAGAGGGGACCCCGUGUGGCAGAGGGAAUUCAGGUGGCUGAUGAGCUGAUCUUCAGCUAGGGCGCAUUCUGGCUCAUGCCGACAUGGGGGCAGAAUGUAAGACGUUCACGAUUCUCAGCCUUCUAUUUUGGGCUGAAACUGAAAAAGAGUGAAUUUUGUUGUUCUGUGUCACAGGAUUGAGGAUUUUCUGUAACAACAGAGGAUUAUUCAUAUAGAAAAGUAAGGUGUACAUUUCCAGCUACACAUCUUUGGUCUGCGUUUUGUGAGCACUCCCUGGGGUGUGGCAGAAGGCAGGAUUUCUGGAGCAUCUAUUGUUUGUUCUGACAUUCCUGCAGACUUUCCAAUGCUCCUGUCUCUACGGAAGUCUGUGGGGUUCAGGAAGAGCUCCCACUCUGCUAGGGCAGCCUAGAACAUGGGCGUUUACGUAGCAGCAUGAAUGUCGCAGACGCAUGCGUGUUGGUGUGGCACACGGUACGUGGCCUGUGUGUUCCUGCUGACAGGCGCUGACUGGGCAUUCACCAAGCAGGAAGAGGAGAGCCACAGACCAACAGUGCAGAUGUUUUCCUUCUGUUUUAGAAAGGAUGGGCCUGCGAGGCCAGGUGGCAGAACACAAGAGGACUGUCCCCGAAGCCACUCUGGGUCAUCUAUUUUGCUGUAUAACACAACUGUGUACUGUCUCCCAUGGACACACCCAUCCCAACACACUGCAGAGCUCCUCACAGGAGUGCACGCUUCAGACACUCAAAUGCACACACAAACACGCAGGAACACAUGCAUGUGCCCGCACUCCCACAUAGACAGCUCACGCUGCCCCUGGACAGAGGAACUCAGGAACUGUUCCUCUGCACAUGUGCACAACACGCGUGCACACACAGGGGCUCCAUCUGGAGAGGCAGGGAUCUGCCCACUGCCACAAGGUGUGGCGAGGUGGCAACUGAGGCUGCAGCAGCGUGGACACGGUGGGAGGGGACAGAGAAGCAAGGAGCCUGUCUGUGGACUGUUAUCAGUAACCACACAGAAAGUCCAGAGGCCCUUGCUGUGCUAGAAAAAUACCACACUUCAUAAAACCCAUGUUUAUUCAAAAAAAUCUAUUCUGAAAUUCUGGAAAGCAUAAUAAAUACCUGUACAGUGGCCGCCGUCUCAAACGCAAAUACAAAGCGCUGACAUGAAACGAUCUGUAAACAUAACUGCUGAGCUUGUAAACAAAGUGCUGAGGCGGAGGAGCUGGGUGAGAAGCGAGUUCGACAGGACAACCAGGACGCUGCAUGGAGUCCCCUCCACUGUCCCCCACACCUGGGGACCUUUAGCGUCCUCUUCUGUUCUAGCACGCUGAUGACUCUCAGAAAGGUGAGGGGCAACAAAGCAAGUCCGAAAUGGAACGGAGAGCGAAAAGUGCGAGGCAAAGAUCCCGUGCGCAUCCUCAGAAGCGAUGCCAACCGUAAGCAGUGCUGGUUGACAUUAGGGGCCAUAGACCCUUGCAAAGCUGACCAGGCUUCCAAACGCAGUGUAGUGCAAAGUCCCUGCAGGCCUAACCUUGGGAUGAGCGAGUCCUUGGUCUUCCACGCGGACUCUGGGUGUGUGUACCAGGCUCCUCCCAAAUGAGGACUGUCAGAUGGGCCCUGGAGGGUGGCCUGAAGGACCGCUCAGCCUGGGGAAGGAGGCCUGGGUGUGGGCUGGGUUGCUCUUGGCGGAUUCUGUGGUGUGUGCUGUUCAGAGGGAUCACGUGCUCUGCAUGGGCAGGAAGGGCGACCGAACCUCCUGGGAGCCUGCGUCAUUUCUGCAAAGCAUCCGGGGCCUCUCAUCUAGUGGCAGGUCCAGGGACACCGGCAUCACACACCCCUGCUGCUCCGAAACCACCCUUUCAAGUUGAGUUGAAGGUGGUCCCCACAACUUCUUUGGGCUUUCUGCGGAAGGACGUCGGGUGUCAUUUUGUUGUGGGCGGGGGUGGGAAGGUCAGGCGUUUCACAGACUCGGCAGGGCUGAGCGGACAUCCUCUGGCGCGCAGGGAGACUCAUGUCAAGCAGAGUUUGGUGUGACGCCUCCUUGUCCCUUUGGCAUGCUUGUGGCUUAGAGCGUAAGGCAUAGAAACAGGCACUGCUGGAGAAGAGGACGCAGGCCAUGGAGCCCGCGCAGGGCGGGCCUGCCCUCUUCCUCUGGGAUGCGUCUCACCACUUGCCCAUCCUCUCCUCCUUGGAACCCAGCCACCCAGGCCAGCGGCUGUGGGCUGCUUGUGCCCAUGGAGCAGGCAAGAUUCAAGGGUCUUUUGCUCAUUUCCAGGGUGAACCGUGACUGGGGCCACCCCUUUUCCCUAGGUUUCUGACAAGAAGUGAGAUUAUCCAAAGCCAAAGUCCACAGGUCUCGUGGUGUUGUUUUCGCCUUGCGUAUUGGCUUUCUGUGGG
RNAcentral lists this long non-coding RNA (9919 nucleotides) under Marmota monax (woodchuck). Lineage: Eukaryota; Metazoa; Chordata; Mammalia; Rodentia; Sciuridae. The record is from RNAcentral.